Molecule: non-coding RNA, 1763 nt
Organism: Drosophila melanogaster (fruit fly)
Lineage: Eukaryota; Metazoa; Arthropoda; Insecta; Diptera; Drosophilidae
Source: Ensembl
UUGGAGCGUUCACUUCGGACAGUUCUUUAACAGUAUAUAUUGUCUUCGCUUUAGCUACUAAACGCAUAAGCCAAACUGAACGCUUUUUCCCAUAUUGAUUCGCUCGAUCGUUCGAACUUCGCAGCCAAGUUAAAGGAAGGGUACAUGUGUUGUAUAUGAUUCAGACAAACUUGACCAGAUCACCUGCAAUCAAAACUGACACCACCAAUUUGGAUAGCAAUGAAUGAUCACUACAGCUUUUCUGUACAAUAUACUAAAUAGUUAAACUUCACCCACAGCCGAGGGUAUUAUUUAUUUACAGAGGCAACUUUUUAAUUUAUAAAAAAGGUAACGUAUAAAUUCAAAGGUGUGGAAGCAUAUACAUAUAUAAAUCCUUUAUCUUCUAUAUCAAUGUUAUAUCUACGCAAGGACAUGGCGGAUUUUUCACAAAUUAUUUUCCAGGGCUAGUCAGCGUCAGCGUUUUAAUGUACAUUUAUUUUCCGGCCAUUAAACAGUGUACUUUAACAAUAAAUUUAGCUUUGUUAUCUGCAGACAAUUAAAAAUUUUUGUCCACCUAAAUUAGGUGGUGAUGUGAGCGUCUUGAAAGUGCAAGAGACAACGCUACCACCACUAUCGCCGCGUUGACGUGUGAUUACAGCGUCCCUUCGCUCCGCUGGUGGCACUGGCCUCUGCUCGGGCAGCCUUUCCUGCCGCGCCGCUGCUGCCGAGUUAUUGUUGCGGUGCAUGAAGUUCCGAAUAUUUUCCUCAGUGUAGUCCACAAUUCGGCGCUUCUUGCGGCGGCCGUACUGUUUCUGCUUCAAAUAAAUUUUCAGAAUUCCCUUGACCGUUAUAAAGGUCAGACCUCCAAGCAGAGUACGAUGCAAUGUGUUAUCAACCGUGUCAAAGAGAAUACGUCCCACGAUCGACGAUAUGGUGGGCAGCAAGAGAGCGCCGCAGAAGACCCUCGUGGCUGAGACAGGGUCAGAGAGAGCCGGUGUGGCCGGAUUGCUGAUGCUUUGCUGUUCCUCUUCCUGGCUGCUGCUUAAAUGUAAAGUAAUAAAAGUCUGCUAACCCUGACAUUGUUGAUGCACUUACAGGUUCGGAUAAAUAAGGCUUACAAAAGGAAACUUCCGCACCACCGUCCCGCGGUUUCGAAUAAGACGCAACAAUGCAUCCUCCCAGCGAAUCAAUCGACCAAGCACAAGCCCCACUGGAAUAGCCGGCAACCCAAUAAGGAGAACGAGCGGAUCUCCAGACUCCAUUAUGGACAUGCCGUGCUCAUGUCCGACAAUCUACAGACAAUUAAUUCUCUUAGCAUGACAACUGAUUAAAAAUGAUAGGUUGUACCUGUAAAAAUGUGACUGCUCCGUAAGUUACUGCUGUCCAGUAGAGGGAGCCCACGAAGAAACCAGCCGCCAGGAAGGGGCUCAGGCGCUUGAUGAGGUUAUCUAUUGCCUCUAAAGCACCUCCAAGCUUGCCCAUCUGCGGGAACACUAUGAUGUACUCCGUUUGGCACUGCGGACACGAUACAGUGCGUAGAGCGUUACCCUUCUGGGUUUUUUCAUCGAUCCAGCGGUAGAGGCAGCUCUGGUGCACCCACUUGGUGGUGCCGCGGCACUGACAGGGCUUCACCCACGCCGCCAGACGGUUGUCCUCAUCGGUGGCGAAGCAGAUCCAGCAGCAGCGUUCCGGCUCCCCCCCAUCGACGGCCACUUGGACGGCAGUGGAAGUGGAAGCGUCCGUGGCUUUGUUCGCUGAAGCAGGUGGAACGGUCAGCGUGGUGU